RNAcentral lists this transfer RNA (85 nucleotides) under Felis catus (domestic cat). It matches the Rfam family "tRNA". From Rfam's summary of the family: Transfer RNA (tRNA) molecules are approximately 80 nucleotides in length. Lineage: Eukaryota; Metazoa; Chordata; Mammalia; Carnivora; Felidae. The record is from Rfam by way of RNAcentral.
GCCUGGGUGGCUCAGUCGGUUAAGCGUCCGACUUCGGCUCAGGUCAUGAUCUCAUGGUCUGUGGGUUCGAGCCCCACGUCGGGCU